AACGAACGCUGGCGGCAUGCCUAACACAUGCGAGUCGAACGAGACCUUCGGGUCUAGUGGCGCACGGGUGCGUAACGCGUGGGAACCUGCCCUUAGGUUCGGAAUAACUCCCCGAAAGGGGUGCUAAUACCGGAUAAUGUCUUCGGACCAAAGAUUUAUCGCCUUUGGAUGGGCCCGCGUUGGAUUAGCUAGUUGGUAGGGUAAAAGCCUACCAAGGCGACGAUCCAUAGCUGGUCUGAGAGGAUGAUCAACCACACUGGGACUGAGACACGGCCCAGACUCCUACGGGAGGCAGCAGUGGGGAAUAUUGGACAAUGGGCGAAAGCCUGAUCCAGCAAUGCCGCGUGAGUGAUGAAGGCCUUAGGGUUGUAAAGCUCUUUUACCCGGGAUGAUAAUGACAGUACCGGGAGAAUAAGCUCCGGCUAACUCCGUG
Molecule: ribosomal RNA, 433 nt
Filed under: uncultured bacterium
Lineage: Bacteria
Description: partial 16S ribosomal RNA
Rfam family: Bacterial small subunit ribosomal RNA
Source: RNAcentral